Molecule: unclassified non-coding RNA, 4438 nt
Filed under: Polistes canadensis
Lineage: Eukaryota; Metazoa; Arthropoda; Insecta; Hymenoptera; Vespidae
Description: histone-lysine N-methyltransferase NSD2, transcript variant X2
Source: RNAcentral
AGGAUGCAAAUAGCAUAGCGUCAAGUAAAUGAACAAACACGUUUAUGUGGAUCAACCGAAAUCGCGGGAAACGCGUUCUGUUCCAUUAGUCCCGUAAUGAUAAUUUUUAUUUUCUUAAUAUUAACAAUAAACAUUCUGUAGAAAUUCGUUUUGUGGAGUUCAUAAAGCUUCAAGUGCAAUACAUAUUGAUACUUCAACAACGGAUGGAGAAAUCUAAAAGAAUCGUGAAAAAUAACAUAAUCCUUGAAAAUCGGCCAUUGCGACUAUUUUCAGCGGUAAUAGAAAAUUGUUUUCGAUUUCUAAGCUCUUUAGAAAGUAUUCUUAGUAUUAUAACCCAUACUGACAGUUGAGGAAUUUUAUAAACUAGCAUCAUUUGAUCAUAGAACAAAGUUAUAUAGCUUAAAAUGAUAAUUUAACGAUUAAGCUAUGAGCUCUUUCAAUACACGGAAUAACAAGGUGGCCGAAGUAGUUAACGAUGCAGGGCAAAGCAUUCGCAACGAGAAAAUAGAAAAUAUCAACGAUGCUCCUGAUUGUGUGGACAAUGGUGGAGAAAAGUCUGAUCUAAUAGAUAGUGCUUAUUUUCCUGGUAAAAGUCGUUAUGGCAGAACAAUAAAGCCUAAAUCUCCUCGGGAUGACAUAUCUGAAUCACCUAAGAAUUACAAAAUGUCCAGAACACGCAAAUCUCAAAACUCUAGCGAAAAUAGUAAUGAAAAUGUAGAUGAAAGUAACAUUGUCAAUGAUGGAGAUGAAGCAAGCGAUUCGUUUAGUUCUACCAAUUCUAUGGAAGAAAUAUUAUCUCCUAAAUUUGAUAAUACUCCUGCGCAAUGCAUUUGGAGUUUAGGACAAUUAGCAUGGGCCCGCGUUGGAAAUUUUCCAUUUUGGCCAUGUGUUGUAACGUUAGAUCCAACUACAUUAAUUUUUUACAAAUAUAAAGCUACUGGCAGAUCGCAAUUGCUAAUGAUACACGUUCAGUAUUUUGGAGAUAAAGGACGUCAUAGUUGGGUUUCAUCGAAUUAUAUGAUCCAUUUCACUAAUCUUGAUGACUAUAUAAAGCUAUCUGAAUCAUUAACCGCAGAAAUUAAAAGAAAGGAUCCUAAAUAUGCAGCAGGAUUUGUUAUUAAGGCAGGAUUAAAGUCUAAAUGGGAUACAGCAGUUGAAGAAGCUACGGAAGUUAAAUCGAUGACUGAUGAAGAAAGAGCCAAUAUAUUUAAACCGGUAGUUAAAAGUACAAGACAAAGAAUGCAAAAAACACUCGAUUUUUAUGAAAAGGAUAAGUCUAGUAAAAGAAAAUUAACGACUGACUUAAGUGGACCAGAUGCUAAACGUUCUAAGCAGGAAAAUAUUGAUGUUUCAGAUAAGUUACAAUAUAAAUUAGAAUCGCCUAAAUUAAGAUAUUUACGACAUAAUGAAAAUGGGAAAACAAAUUUGAGAUUAAAUCUUGAAAGUCCUUCUCGAAUGUCAACUAAAUCUAAUGAAUCCAAUGAUUCAUCUACAACACAAAAAAGUGAUUUUAAAAGUGAUGAACAUCCUGAAGGUGUUUUCGAAGUUUAUUACGAAAGAAAUAGAGAUAUGUUAGAAGAUGAACAUCCUGAUUUGUCGGAAGAAGAAAUUCGAAAAUAUUUAAAAAAAACUUGGAACGAUAUGAACUCUUCUUUUCGCAGAAAAUAUCGUUUAUAUGUCAAAUCUGAAGGUAAUCAAUCCAAAGAUGAUGUACCAGAAGAGUCUGAAGAAGACACGUCAACAGAUGCAGAAAGUAUUAUUACAAAAGAAGCGAAAAAAGUCAAAUCAAAAAUCGAAAAAGAAGAAACAUAUUCAGUAGAAACAAAAAAGACAAGACCAUAUAAUCUUUUUAAAGGCAUGAAACAAGAAAAGGUUUGUCAAAUAUGUGAAAAAACAGGAAAGUUAACAAGAUGUAGGGGACCCUGUUAUUCGUACUUUCAUUUGUCAUGCGUCAAACCUGGAGAAUCUAGUCCAGAACAUUCUAUUGAUGAAAGUAUGUACAGUGAUAAAUUAUUCGAAGAUUUGAGAGAAAUUAAAAGGAGCAAUACGGAUGACGAAGAAAAUAGCGAUAAAGCAGAAGAACAAGAAGAUGAGAGCUUCAAAUGUAUUGAUUGUUUGUCCGGUGUAGCUCCAGCGUGCUUUGUAUGUAAUGAAAGGGAAGGAGAUAGAAUAAGAUGUUCAGUUAUGGCAUGUGGCAAACAUUACCAUUCAUCUUGCUUAAGAUCUUGGCCUCAAUCUCGCUGGCAAGGAGGUCGUUUAAAUUGUCCAUAUCAUAUAUGUCAUACAUGUAGUUCGGAUAAUCCUCAAGAUAGUCAUUCUCGUGCACCUAAUGAAAAAAUAGCACGAUGCGUAAGAUGUCCAUCAUCUUAUCAUGCUUCUAUAUCAUGUUUACCUGCUGGAUCAGUUAUAUUAACAGGAAGCCAAAUUGUCUGUCCUAAGCAUUACAAAGCUCCUCAUCCUCCAUUGAAUGCAGCAUGGUGUUUUCUUUGUACUCGUGGUGGAAGUCUUAUUUGUUGCGACACAUGUCCAACUUCAUUUCAUCUGGAAUGUCUUGGUAUAAAUGCACCGGAUGGUGCGUUUAUAUGUGAAGAUUGUGAAACUGGAAGACUUCCCCUUUACGGAGAAGUAGUAUGGGUCAAGCUUGGUAAUUAUCGCUGGUGGCCCUCACGUAUAUGUUAUCCACAUGAAAUACCUGAAAAUGUAGGUUCUAUACCACAUAGUCCGGGCAAAUUUUGUGUCAUGUUUUUAGGUUCUAAUAAUUAUUAUUGGGUCCACAGAGGGCGUGCUUUCUUAUAUCAAGAAGGAGAUGCAACUAUAAAGCCUUCAGUAGGUAAAAAAAAUAUGAGAAAUAAUACUUAUAGAAAAGCUUUAGAAGCAGCUAGCGAGAUUCAUCAGCGUUUAAAAAUUGAGAGAGCUGCUGCUAAGGAUAUUGAGGCUAAGGGAUUGAAACCUCCACCGUAUGUUAAAUUAAAGGUUAACAAGCCUGUAGGUAAUGUGAAACCUGUUGAAGUUGAAAGUAUUGUGGCAUGUGAUUGUGAUCCAGAAUUAGAUGAUGCUUGUGCACCUGGAACAGAUUGCUUAAAUCGCAUUUUAUUGAUAGAAUGUAGUCCGGGAGUAUGCCCGGCUGGUACCAAAUGCAAUAAUCAAGAUUUCGUACGCAGACAUUAUCCAGCAAUGGAACCAUUUCAUACAGUUGGCCGUGGAUGGGGUCUUAGAAGUUUGGAAGCUAUUAAGUUUGGCCAAUUUGUAAUUGAAUAUGUAGGCGAAAUUAUAGAUGAAGCUGAAUACAGACAGAGAUUAACUAGAAAAAAAGAAUUGAAGAAUGAAAAUUUUUAUUUUUUGACAAUAGAUAAUAAUAGAAUGAUCGAUGCAGAACCAAAGGGUAAUCUUAGUCGAUUUAUGAAUCAUUCUUGUUCACCAAAUUGUGAAACACAAAAAUGGACAGUAAAUGGAGAUACACGUAUUGGUUUAUUUGCUUUGCAAGAUAUAGCACCAGGAGAAGAAUUAACUUUUAAUUAUAACUUAGCUUGCGAUGGAGAAACACGUAAAGCAUGUUUAUGCGGCGCACCAAAUUGUAGUGGAUUUAUAGGUUUAAAGGUACAAAAACCACAAAUAACUUCAGUCGCAGUACAACCUAAAAAACCCGAAAAGAUAGAAAAAAUAAAAAAGCAAAGAAGAUCAAGGAAACGUUUUUGUUGGAAUUGUGGACAAGAGAUAACGCCUGAUAGUGAAAUUAUUAUAUGCGACCAUAAAACAUGCAAUAAGAAGUAUCAUAGCACUUGUGUAAAUAUCUAUAACACGGAAAGUAAAUUUAGUUGUCCAUGGCAUCACUGUGUAGUAUGUAAUCGAAGAACAUCCGCACACUGCUCAUAUUGUAGCGCUGCUUUUUGUCAAGUUCAUUUAGAUGGGAAUUUAGUUGAGUAUGGGGAAAAAGGUGGCUUUGUUUGCACGUUGCAUGAAAAUAUGGAAGUACAGAGAUCGUCGGCAGAAGAUGAAAAAGAUUCUUCCGAUAACGAAGCUGAAAUUGAUAAAGAAUAUUUAUCAAGAUCUAGUAGCCCUAUAGAAAUGGAAACAAAGUUACAACGAGAACCAUCACCUCGAGUUUCAAUAGUAGAGGUGCAAUAAAACUUUGUCCUGUCACUCCUCCUGGAAGAUCUCUUUUCGGCGGUUGUGUCUAAAAAUAAGGUUUAGAUGCAGGUAAUGUAACUCCAGUUACAAGACCUAAAAUACUAGCAGCAAGACCACUAAGUUGUACAGCUGCCAGAGGAGAUAAACCUCUUCUUACUAAUCCAAGAGAUAAAAAUGCUACUUGAGCAAGAAUUGGUGCAGCUCCAGCUGCACUAGCAGCUGCACCUGCUAACUGACCACCACCAACAUUUGGUCCAUAAGCAAAGCACAAAUUAUGCCUGUCCACCUGUGUGUUUGCCAUGUAUAUAUU